Molecule: ribosomal RNA, 253 nt
Filed under: uncultured bacterium
Lineage: Bacteria
Description: partial 16S ribosomal RNA
Rfam family: Bacterial small subunit ribosomal RNA
Source: RNAcentral
UACGUAGGGUGCAAGCGUUGUCCGGAAUUAUUGGGCGUAAAGAGCUCGUAGGCGGUUCGUCGCGUCGGCUGUGAAAACCUGAGGCUCAACCUCAGGCCUGCAGUCGAUACGGGCGGACUUGAGUACUGCAGGGGAGACUGGAAUUCCUGGUGUAGCGGUGGAAUGCGCAGAUAUCAGGAGGAACACCGGUGGCGAAGGCGGCAUCCUGGACCGGUAUUGACGCUGAGGCGCGAAAGCUAGGGGAGCAAACGGG